UACGAAGGGGGCGAGCGUUGUUCGGAUUUACUGGGCGUAAAGGGCGCGCAGGCGGUCUUGAAAGUCAGGCGUGAAAGCCCCGGGCUUAACCUGGGAAUUGCGCUUGAUACUCUGAGACUGGAGUACGGGAGAGGAGAGUGGAAUUCCCAGUGUAGAGGUGAAAUUUGUAGAUAUUGGGAAGAACACCAGUGGCGAAGGCGGCUCUCUGGACCGUAACUGACGCUGAGGCGCGAAAGCGUGGGGAGCAAACAGG
Molecule: ribosomal RNA, 253 nt
Filed under: uncultured bacterium
Lineage: Bacteria
Description: partial 16S ribosomal RNA
Rfam family: Bacterial small subunit ribosomal RNA
Source: RNAcentral